This 82-nucleotide transfer RNA is filed under the name Cytophagales bacterium. Its description in RNAcentral is "tRNA-Leu". It matches the Rfam family "tRNA". From Rfam's summary of the family: Transfer RNA (tRNA) molecules are approximately 80 nucleotides in length. Their secondary structure includes four short double-helical elements and three loops (D, anti-codon, and T loops). Further hydrogen bonds mediate the characteristic L-shaped molecular structure. tRNAs have two regions of fundamental functional importance: the anti-codon, which is responsible for specific mRNA codon recognition, and the 3' end, to which the tRNAs corresponding amino acid is attached (by aminoacyl-tRNA synthetases). tRNAs cope with the degeneracy of the genetic code in two manners: having more than one tRNA (with a specific anti-codon) for a particular amino acid; and 'wobble' base-pairing, i.e. permitting non-standard base-pairing at the 3rd anti-codon position. Lineage: Bacteria; Pseudomonadati; Bacteroidota; Cytophagia; Cytophagales. RNAcentral also lists the same sequence under 1 other name. The record is from RNAcentral.
GCCUGAGUGGCGGAACUGGUAGACGCGCACGACUCAAAAUCGUGUGUCCUCGGACGUGCCGGUUCGAUUCCGGCCUUAGGUA